Molecule: transfer RNA, 67 nt
Filed under: Listeria monocytogenes
Lineage: Bacteria; Bacillati; Bacillota; Bacilli; Caryophanales; Listeriaceae
Description: tRNA-Gly
Rfam family: tRNA
About the family: Transfer RNA (tRNA) molecules are approximately 80 nucleotides in length. Their secondary structure includes four short double-helical elements and three loops (D, anti-codon, and T loops). Further hydrogen bonds mediate the characteristic L-shaped molecular structure. tRNAs have two regions of fundamental functional importance: the anti-codon, which is responsible for specific mRNA codon recognition, and the 3' end, to which the tRNAs corresponding amino acid is attached (by aminoacyl-tRNA synthetases). tRNAs cope with the degeneracy of the genetic code in two manners: having more than one tRNA (with a specific anti-codon) for a particular amino acid; and 'wobble' base-pairing, i.e. permitting non-standard base-pairing at the 3rd anti-codon position.
Source: RNAcentral
GGAAGUAGUUCAGUGGUAGAACAUCACCUUGCCAAGGUGGGGGUCGCGGGUUCGAACCCCGUCUUCC